Zeugodacus cucurbitae (melon fly) is the source of this 1080-nucleotide long non-coding RNA. RefSeq lists it as uncharacterized. NCBI's taxonomy places the organism in Eukaryota, Metazoa, Arthropoda, Insecta, Diptera, Tephritidae. The record is from RefSeq and is a predicted model, not a curated record. The transcript has 2 exons.
CCUGAGGGUAGGUAAACAUGAAAUAAAUGACAAAUAACAGUCAAUGUAUCAUAAUACUCGAUAAAUGGUGCUUAGGAAAAAUUACCACACUGUAUAUUGGAUAUAUUGGGGUUAAAGAGGCUUGGACAAAUUUAAUUUACAUACUUUAAAAAAUAAACUAAACGUAAACUCUAAAAAAAUAUUUUUAUCAAAUUGCAUUAAGGUAACUUACAUUGAUUAUUCGCCAUAAAGUCAUAGGAAAAAAAGUAAUUAUUGUAUAUGGUAUAUGGGGGUUGGGGCAAUUGAUAAGCAGAUUUCACCCAUCUUUGGCACAAAACUACAGUAUAAAGUCAACCGAAAGUUUGAAAAUAUUUAUAAAGCGUGUUUUUUUAGACAUAUGCGUUUCAAGAAAAAAUAAAACGCCAUAAUUUUAUGUUAUGACCACGAAUUUAUUUUUAUUAUGUAGAUAAAGGAUUGGCAUUAUGUUUUAAAAUGAUUUCGGGCAAGUAAUCUCUGCAGCUGACUCAAAUAAAUUCCAUACGGGUAGUCCAAUUUUCUACCACUUCUUGCAGUAAUAAAACCAAACUUUGUCUAUAUCAGUAACAUGGUCGAACAGAUCAAAACAAAACAAAAUUUGCAUUAUAUAUUUGCAUUAUAUAUUUAUUCAUAUUAACGAAGAAUACUUUCGCCGGCAAAUUGAAUUAACAUUUUUGUAUCGUUACUAAACCUUUUGACGUACUUAAAACCGAAGCAUCUGCGUUGCACUAUAAUACAUAGUGGAGGAGACUUAAUGAUUUGAGGCUGUAUAGUAAAUCUGUGUUUUUAAUUAAGAACACGAAAAAUCUAGAAAUUGGACUCAGAUUUACUUGUAGAUAUUUUACAUAAGAAAUAAUUUCAAAACUAAAUUGAAAAUAAAUUAUAUUAAAAUAUACGGUCACUUAAUUUGAAUUAGAUAUUUCAAAUAUUGUAUGAUAUUUCUCAAAUUUUCCAUUGUUAAUAUCAAGGUUUCAAGAAAAUAACAUUUACCAAAUUUCAUUGAAAUCGGUCGAAUAGUUCUUGACAUAUGGUUUUUGAACCAAAAGUGGACGACGCCAUGCCCCU